UCCGGUUUGUCACCGGCAGUCUGGCGUGAGUCCCCAACUUAAUGCUGGCAACACGCCACGGGGGUUGCGCUCGUUGCGGGACUUAACCCAACAUCUCACGACACGAGCUGACGACAGCCAUGCAGCAUCUCUGCACAGACCUCCGAAGAGGGGCCCUCAUCUCUGAGGGUUUCCUGUGCAGUUCAAACCCAGGUAAGGUUCUGCGCGUUGCUUCGAAUUAAACCACAUACUCCACCGCUUGUGCGGGCCCCCGUCAAUUCCUUUGAGUUUCAGUCUUGCGACCGUACUCCCCAGGCGGCGAACUUAACGCGUUAGCUUCGAUACUGAAGGCCUGAUUGCCCCCAACAUCCAGUUCGCAUCGUUUAGGGCGUGGACUAC
This 378-nucleotide unclassified non-coding RNA is filed under the name uncultured bacterium. Its description in RNAcentral is "contains 16S-23S intergenic spacer region". The record is from RNAcentral.